UACGAAGGGGGCUAGCGUUGCUCGGAAUGACUGGGCGUAAAGGGCGCGUAGGCGGAACGUACAGUCAGACGUGAAAUUCCCGGGCUCAACCUGGGGGCUGCGUUUGAUACGUGCGUUCUUGAGUAUGGAAGAGGGUCGUGGAAUUCCCAGUGUAGAGGUGAAAUUCGUAGAUAUUGGGAAGAACACCGGUGGCGAAGGCGGCGACCUGGUCCAUUACUGACGCUGAGGCGCGAAAGCGUGGGGAGCAAACAGGAUUAGAUACCCUGGUAGUCCACGCUGUAAACGAUGUGUGCUGGAUGUUGGGUGACCUAGUCACUCAGUGUCGUAGCUAACGCGAUAAGCACACCGCCUGGGGAGUACGGCCGCAAGGUUGAA
RNAcentral lists this ribosomal RNA (375 nucleotides) under uncultured bacterium. RNAcentral describes it as "bacterial SSU rRNA". It matches the Rfam family "Bacterial small subunit ribosomal RNA", at positions 524 to 898 of the family's 1533-position model. The record is from RNAcentral.